This 369-nucleotide ribosomal RNA is filed under the name Triticum aestivum (bread wheat). Its description in RNAcentral is "partial small subunit ribosomal RNA". The record is from RNAcentral. Lineage: Eukaryota; Viridiplantae; Streptophyta; Magnoliopsida; Poales; Poaceae.
AGCUCCAAGAAUACGCGGAGGAGGUGGCCCGGGUCGGCGUCGGCGCCGUCCGGCGCGGACCACGGGCCCGCUUCCAAGUGCGUCUGCGCGCCGGCCACCCACGCCGGGUCCUUCAAGUGCUGCUUCCACAGCACGAACUCCCAAGGCCACGGCCAUGGCCAGGGCUAGGGAAGCCGCCCUUCUUCGCCCCCUUCACCGGCCGCGGCCAACGCGGUGCCGCUGCACCCGGCCUCGCCGUCCUCGAGAAUCAAGAACACUCGACAACGGAGAGGGAAUGGAAGAUCAUAUACAUGUCAUAAGAAAGGGAGUUUAUUUACUGCUCCCUCGAUGUAUUGUUUCCUCUGUUUGGAGAUUGAUUACCAUCCGUGA